This 68-nucleotide non-coding RNA is filed under the name Variovorax sp. Root473. Its description in RNAcentral is "Xanthine riboswitch aptamer (NMT1 RNA)". It matches the Rfam family "Xanthine riboswitch aptamer (NMT1 RNA)". From Rfam's summary of the family: Later it was reported as a ncRNA that recognised Xanthine. RNAcentral also lists the same sequence under 1 other name. Lineage: Bacteria; Pseudomonadati; Pseudomonadota; Betaproteobacteria; Burkholderiales; Comamonadaceae. The record is from Rfam by way of RNAcentral.
GACAAGAGUAGAAGCGUUCAGCAGCGCACGCACCAUCCCCGUGCGCCCGCCCGGAAAUUGCUCUUGAG